UACGUAGGGGGCCAGCGUUGUCCGAAGUUACUGGGCGUAAAGGGUGCGUAGGCGGGGCUUUAUGUCAGGGGUGAAAUCCUGGAGCUCAACUCCAGAACUGCCUUUGAUACUGAGGAUCUUGAGUUCGGGAGAGGUGAGUGGAACUGCGAGUGUAGAGGUGAAAUUCGUAGAUAUUCGCAAGAACACCAGUGGCGAAGGCGGCUCACUGGCCCGAUACUGACGCUGAGGCACGAAAGCGUGGGGAGCAAACAGG
This 253-nucleotide ribosomal RNA is filed under the name uncultured bacterium. RNAcentral describes it as "partial 16S ribosomal RNA". It matches the Rfam family "Bacterial small subunit ribosomal RNA", at positions 524 to 776 of the family's 1533-position model. The record is from RNAcentral.